UAGGGCUAGCCUCAAGUGAUGAUUAUUGGAGGUAGAGCACUGUUUGGACGAGGGGCCCCUCUCGGGUUACCGAAUUCAGACAAACUCCGAAUGCCAAUUAAUUUAACUUGGGAGUCAGAACAUGGGUGAUAAGGUCCGUGUUCGAAAGGGAAACAGCCCAGACCACCAGCUAAGGUCCCAAAAUAUAUGUUAAGUGGAAAAGGAUGUGGCGUUGCCCAGACAACUAGGAUGUUGGCUUAGAAGCAGCCAUCAUUUAAAGAGUGCGUAAUAGCUCACUAGUCGAGUGACACUGCGCCGAAAAUGUACCGGGGCUAAACAUAUUACCGAAGCUGUGGAUUGUCCUUUGGACAAUGGUAGGAGAGCGUUCUAAGGGCGUCGAAGCAUGAUCGCAAGGACAUGUGGAGCGCUUAGAAGUGAGAAUGCCGGUGUGAGUAGCGAAAGACGGGUGAGAAUCCCGUCCACCGAUUGACUAAGGUUUCCAGAGGAAGGCUCGUCCGCUCUGGGUUAGUCGGGUCCUAAGCUGAGGCCGACAGGCGUAGGCGAUGGAUAACAGGUUGAUAUUCCUGUACCACCUAGUAUCGUUUUAA
This 587-nucleotide ribosomal RNA is filed under the name Staphylococcus epidermidis. Its description in RNAcentral is "bacterial LSU rRNA". It matches the Rfam family "Bacterial large subunit ribosomal RNA", at positions 871 to 1462 of the family's 2925-position model. Lineage: Bacteria; Bacillati; Bacillota; Bacilli; Caryophanales; Staphylococcaceae. The record is from RNAcentral.